RNAcentral lists this long non-coding RNA (2812 nucleotides) under Citrus sinensis (sweet orange). Its description in RNAcentral is "long non-coding RNA (CSIN_LNC001969)". The record is from RNAcentral. Lineage: Eukaryota; Viridiplantae; Streptophyta; Magnoliopsida; Sapindales; Rutaceae.
UCUACCAUGCCCCCAGGGCACCGUAGCCCCACAUUUUGUCUUGUAGUGAAGUCAUCGUUAGAUGAAAAGGGAGAAGAAUGUACAAUUCUGAAAACGCCACGUUGCAGAUGAAGCAAACCGGGAGUGCAGGUAAUUAGACUGGAACUGUUGACAUUGCUAAUAUAUUGUUUAAGAAAACAAGAAGAUGAUGGUUUCCAUAAAAAUAAACAUGUUAGCUGGCACAAAAUAAAUGUAGAAGCAAACACUUUGUCAAGGGACAAUAAUAUGUAGAUUAGUAACAGUUUCAUUGUUGUUGGAGGCAUAGAAUAUUGAGCAGUUGUAAUAGUGAAAGGAUAGGAAGUAUUUUAUUUGUUCCUCUUAAAAGAAAUAGGAAAGAGUUAAAUGAAUUAAGUGGGAAGGAAAUAUAGCUGCAUUAAUAAUUUAAUAGUAACUUAGAUAGGGAAGACAACAAAUUGUGGAGUGGAGAGAAACAAAAAUUAUGGAUUGGUAAUUGAUUUAAAAUAAUUUUGGUUAGGAUUUGAAUGACAAGCGGAAUUGGAAUAAAGCAUGGAGCAAGUACGAAAAUGUGUCAAAAUGGGAAAAUGAGUUCGGCAAACUGCACAUAUGAAAUUGAUGGUAGCUGAAAAAUCAACGCAUGUGUUGUUACAUUGGUAUCACCAAUGGCCGGGCUUGAAAUACUUAAAUGUCUCUGAACAUUGGGUGGUUGAAUAAAAGGAGAAUGACCAUAUGGCCAAGAUAUUUGUAAUUUGUUAGUUGAUUAAAUAAUAGCCUUAGUUGGAAUAAAAUGGAUAUGAAGAAGAAUAGUUAACCAAAUGAAGAGGUGCUUCCAAAUCCAGUUUGAUUUGGUAAUGGGCGUAAAUGAAGUAAAUGGUGAUGCAGAAGUAAAUGCAAGGGAAGAGAUGGACAAGCAUGUUUAAUUAAUAUACGGCAAACACAACUGUAACAGUGAGAAGAUACUGGAACUGCAUAUGUAUAAAGGUGGAUUAAAAAAUCCAAGCUGCAAUGUCGACAUAAGAAAUAUACAACAGGAGUUCAAACCACAUAAUUGUCAUACAUCCAUAACAUUGAAACAUGUCCCAUAAAGCAAUGAAUGCUUAUCAAAACACAGUUGAAGUAGGUUAUAUUGUGAAAUAACAGUAAAUAUAGAGCAUAUAGAAUGUGUUAAGUAUCCUAGUUGGUGGAGUUCCUUUGACAGCAUUGGUUUGAAUGUAAGAAAUAGAUAAGCUUUGGCUUUAAUCAUAGGAAGAAAGAUAACAUGGACAGAUGUGGAAGGACGAGCACAUGGGAGCAUUAGGGAUCAUGCAUGUUGGGACACGGUCACCUUUAUAGGCAUGCAAUUUCAAAUAGCAAAAAGAGUAAGUGAAAAUGCAAUUAUGAAUUACUGUGUGACAAACUUACUUAUGGAGUCGUCAUCACUGAUGCUUGAUAGUACUCGCAAGAAGUCAUGUCCAGCAAUAAGAGUUUCCGCCAAAUAUGGAUUGUACUGAAACUGUUAUGACAUGGGCAAUUGUUAACUGAUAAGCUAUUUGUUACAUUAGCAUACAGUUAAAUGCUUGUCAGAUUAGCAUACAGUCAAUGAAACAUAUGUACAACGAGCUGUAAACAUGUAACAUUUCCCAUGUAUCACCAUCUAAAUGCUUGCACUUAACUUCAUUUUAUUACUUGCUGCAAUUUCACUUUUCCUGUUUGUACUUUCCACACAUGUUCAUCGUACAACUUACUAACUUCCCCUUUCCUGUUGAAUUGCCAGACAUACAUUCAAUUUUUAUUACAUUAACUUAAAAACAUACAAAACAUCUAAACUAAUUAGUCCCAUUGUUAUUAUACAAGCACAAGAAAUUAUGAUAUCAUUUUCAAAAAUUCUGUGUGAUUCACAUCUGACUUGUCACUUCGUAGAUGCUUCUACAAAGUUGCAGCUGAAGGCAUAGUCAGCCAGAAGAUAAAGAAAAGGAAAUAUGGCAGACACUUCUCCAAAGUUGCAGCCGAAGGCAUAGUCAGCCUGAAGAUAAAAGAAACGGAAAUAUGGCAAACACACAGAGCAAACCACAAGUUUCUCAUCAAUCAUACAGCUUUAAAUGGGUCAUGUUCAGCUGCUAGAGUAUAAUCCCUAAAUCAUUUUCAAUAUUUUUUUUCCCCUUUACUCCACUAUUUUCUACUUCUCUAUAGGAAAUCUGACUUCCCACCACAUUAUUCGCAGCAACAAUAUUGAACUCAAUUAUUUCAGGUUCAGCUGCCACUAGGUUGAAUUUCUGUUGGCGAAAUCCCUCUCUCUUACAAUUUCAAUACACGUGUUUAUUAACAUAAAAAUAAUAGUAAAAAACUCCUUUAUAUUACCACAUUAUUCAUAAAAUUUCCAGAAAUUUAAUUUAAAAAUUUACGCCCUGCACUCUCAUAUCUUGCCAUUAUCCAUAUGAAAUCUAAUUUCACACCAAUGAAAUCUAAUUUCGCACCAACUAUAUUAUCAGCUACAAAUGAUUCACGUUACAAAUCUCACAUUAAAAUUUCACUAACCUUAAUGAUGGUUUACACAAUCCUUUCCAUUUCUUCAAUACGACCACAACAAAUCCACAAGUCACCACAAUCGUCUUCGAAAAUUUAAUCCGGCGUCGCUACUGCAGCUGUAGUCACACACAAUUAUGAAACUGGUGGUUGCUUUAGGGAAAUCGCUCACGUCAGGCCAAAUACGGUUAAGGAUUUGCAGAACCCUAAAACUAAUCUUGUACCUCAAAUGGGUUUGGGCAAUUGCCCGCUUCACAUCAUUGUUCGUGACUAAAAUCGCAACCGUUGGAUAACACUCUUUAUAAUCUAACGG